Dermochelys coriacea (leatherback sea turtle) is the source of this 923-nucleotide long non-coding RNA. RefSeq lists it as uncharacterized. The transcript has 2 exons. NCBI's taxonomy places the organism in Eukaryota, Metazoa, Chordata, Testudines, Dermochelyidae. The record is from RefSeq and is a predicted model, not a curated record.
GAAUUUGCUACUGGAUUAUGGAUAUGAAUACUCUACAUUUACCAAAGAAGAAGAAGUAUUGAGUCAAUGGGCCCUUCAGGUACUAAGAACCUCUGACAAUCAGGCCCAGUGGAUGGGACUGUGUCCAUCUCAAUGCCCCCCAAAGGGGAGCUGGAAUAAUUUUCAUAUUGGUGGGGGCUGAUGAUGGAAACUAUGUAUCUGGUGUUUGUUAUUACUACUUCAAGCUAGGAGGUGUGGUAGCACCCGUAGUUCUAGCACCACUGUCCCCAAAAAUGUCAGGAAAAAACUCUUCUGCUGCAGGAGAAAGAUGCACAAAAAUUUAAAACCCAAAUAUGUAUGCUUUUGCAAUAUUUUCUUUCCCAGAAAACAAAAAUGAAUAAACACUUAAUUAAAACCAAUCUUUAGGGUACUAAACUGUUUCCACUGGAAAACCACCUCAGCUGACUUCUCCUGACUUGGAGAAAUUAAUUGAAAACAAUUGUGUUUUAGAAAUGUUAUGCUUUCUGAUUUAAUCAGUCACUGUCUGAUGAUGAUGAUGAUGAUGAUUUAUCUUAUUAACUGGCAUGUAACCAGGUUUUUAUAUAAUACGUAUUUCAAGCUGUUUCAAUUGUUUACAGGUUUUGUUUUGUUUUUUUGGUGGGGAGGACAACAUACAGAGCAUUGUUGAUGGGGGAGGCUGGCACUUUAUAAGUGGAAAUAUCUAAUGUUUGCAUUUCAGACAGUGAACUGAUUCUCUUUUAAGAAAAAAACACAAAACACUUACACACACAUCAUAAUUUAAUUUAUUUUAGUGUUCCAGUAAAUUACACUUCAUAUUAUCCAACAAAAGUUGAAUGUUUUAGAGUUACAUAUACUAUAAGAGGGUGAAAACUUUUUUUUUUAUCCUGGCAAAGAUAUGUGAAGUGCAUUUAGUUUUGGUCUGG